Molecule: ribosomal RNA, 253 nt
Filed under: uncultured bacterium
Lineage: Bacteria
Description: partial 16S ribosomal RNA
Rfam family: Bacterial small subunit ribosomal RNA
Source: RNAcentral
UACAGAGGGUGCAAGCGUUAAUCGGAAUUACUGGGCGUAAAGCGUGCGUAGACGGUUACAUAAGUCGGGUGUGAAAGCCCCGGGCUCAACCUGGGAAUUGCAUUCGAGACUGCGUAGCUAGGGUGCGGAAGAGGGAAGCGGAAUUUCCGGUGUAGCGGUGAAAUGCGUAGAGAUGUGGAGGAAUACCGAUGGCGAAGGCAGCCCCCUGGGAUAACACUGACGCUCAUGCACGAAAGCGUGGGGAGCAAACAGG